RNAcentral lists this long non-coding RNA (548 nucleotides) under Macaca mulatta (Rhesus monkey). RNAcentral describes it as "lncRNA (ENSMMUG00000051708.1)". The record is from RNAcentral. Lineage: Eukaryota; Metazoa; Chordata; Mammalia; Primates; Cercopithecidae.
GUUCUAGGGCCCCGGCGAUGGGGAGAAUGCAGCUGCUCGGCUUUUUUUAAACUCAAACUUGUAUGCUUCUCCAGCAGAUGAUUGCUAAUACUGCUAUGGCUGGACAAGCCUCGUUCUAAUUUUUUGAGUUACCAAUAAAAUGUUUUUGCCAAGCUGCCUUCUUUGAGGAGGAGAGGGGCUUGAUGAUGCCUCACCCAGCUGGGCAGAGCGGGGUGCUAUAUGACUGAUCAUUUCCAGAGAAGAUGAUGACAUUGGAAGGAGACAAUUACCCGCCUCUAGUCCUGACCCUUCACUCAAGCCCCAGGGCUGCCUCAAACAAUCCAUGGCCAUGGCACCUUCAGCCUCUCAUUUGCAUCACUGUCAGAGCUGUCCAGUCACCCUGGGAGGCUUUAUGCUUCUGCCAGAGGUACAUCAUUCCCCAGGAUGGUGCCAGGCCUGCCUUUGCAACCAACCUCUGCUUUGAAUUCUCUACCUGUGGCAAGUCUUCCUCCUUUUGGAAACAACUAGAAGUUACCAAGGAUGAUGAGCAAGUUGGACAAUCAAAUUAG